UGGAGGAGGAGAAAUGGUUGAAGCACCAGGAGAAUACAGCGGACUUGCCCGCCGAGAGAGGGCGGCCGGCAUAACGCUUAUCUCCACAAGAUUUAAGAUAUGUUGGAUUUAAUCUGUUUUUUAAUCCUGUGUUUUAUAAUAAGCGCUGUGGCCAACCCCCAGUUGUCCAGCAAAGGUUGUUUGUUGUUUUUAUUCAGUCAGGGACGCAAGUUACAGAAAUGUUACUACUUAUGCAGGUACAUGCAGUCUGCCUAGACCAACUCUGCCCACACACUGACUAACUAUCUCCUCACAGUCUGGACAGACCUGGGGGAGAAGGGCAGGAGGAUUUCCCAUGCAUCCUCCCACAGGGAUAAAGUUAACUCCUUACAACACAAAAUACAUCACACUGUAACCUGGAGCUGUGGGCAAGAGCAGACACUAUAAAGUGACAUCCACCUGACAGGGCAGGUGGACAAGAGUGUUCCGCACUGGGACAUCACAAUAGCAGUCAUGUUCUGUGUCCUAUAAGUAUAGUAUAAAUGGCGUGUUAUACACUUUUUUGUUUUCAUUGUAGGCACAGCACAGGAUAAACACCUGAGGGGUAAUGCUGGUGAUACACAUACGAUAGCUGACUAUGUCUCCCGAGUCUCCCUUUACACAUGCACACUUGGAGAGAGGCAAGAUUCCAUUUCCUAACUAUAUUACAAACAGAAAGCCCUGGAAACUCUAUUUAUGGGAUUGUGAUGAGGAAUCUGGACAAAGUGCAUAUGAUGACUACUAGAAAGUAUCCAAGCAACAUAAACCAGUAUUAAAAUAGAAGAAAUGUUCAUUUGUGUUUUUCCCUGUGAACCGAAGAGAUGAAUAAAGUAAUUGCCCUUCAUCUGGACUCAGAUUAAGCUUCUAAACAAUUGUGUUUCGGAAGAACAAAUACAUUUCUGUCAGAGUGGAGCAAGGACAUGCAUUAUCAAGGAAAAAGGAAAAUUCUACUAACAAAAUAGAUAUGUUUUGCAAUAAUAGAAUCAAUGCUGCACAAUCAUAGUGGACCUUGAAAAGGGCCAUUUUUACAGUAACAUAUCUGAAAAAGAUUAAAAAUAGCUUUAAAAUGUAGCUAGCUUUUCUCCAUAUAUUUCAUCAGCACAUGUUGGACUAUUUCAGAUCUACAAAGCACCAACCUCGAGUAAAAUAGACUGAAAGGAUAUGCGCACUGUUACCCUGUUUCCUGAAUGCAAAAUAAAGAAACUUUUAUUACCGUAAAAGUUUCCUGCUAAAAAGGGUAAAAUAAAUCCCUCUGAUGGACCCUCUGCUCUCUCAAUGUUAAAGGGUAGCUCCCACCAUCCUAUUUUUUUUUGCUAGCCCGUCCCCCCCCGCUACGGCACUAGCUCGUUCACCCCCCCGCCCCGCAUACCCUGUUCCCUCAUUACACUUGCAGUUACUGCAGAGUCCGGCAGCAGGCGUGCAGGGACAGCGGCGGCGAUGUGCGGGACGA
This is a long non-coding RNA of Hyla sarda, 1468 nucleotides long. RefSeq lists it as uncharacterized. NCBI's taxonomy places the organism in Eukaryota, Metazoa, Chordata, Amphibia, Anura, Hylidae. The record is from RefSeq and is a predicted model, not a curated record. The transcript is spliced from 3 exons.